UAGGGAAUCUUCCGCAAUGGGCGAAAGCCUGACGGAGCAACGCCGCGUGAGUGAUGAAGGUCUUCGGAUCGUAAAACUCUGUUAUUAGGGAAGAACAAAUGUGUAAGUAACUAUGCACGUCUUGACGGUACCUAAUCAGAAAGCCACGGCUAACUACGUGCCAGCAGCCGCGGUAAUACGUAGGUGGCAAGCGUUAUCCGGAAUUAUUGGGCGUAAAGCGCGCGUAGGCGGUUUUUUAAGUCUGAUGUGAAAGCCCACGGCUCAACCGUGGAGGGUCAUUGGAAACUGGAAAACUUGAGUGCAGAAGAGGAAAGUGGAAUUCCAUGUGUAGCGGUGAAAUGUGCAGAGAUAUGGAGGAACACCAGUGGCGAAGGCGACUUUCUGGUCUGUAACUGACGCUGAUGUGCGAAAGCGGGGGGAUCAAACAGG
RNAcentral lists this ribosomal RNA (429 nucleotides) under Actinomycetes bacterium. Its description in RNAcentral is "Actinobacteria bacterium partial 16S ribosomal RNA". It matches the Rfam family "Bacterial small subunit ribosomal RNA", at positions 355 to 776 of the family's 1533-position model. The record is from RNAcentral. Lineage: Bacteria; Bacillati; Actinomycetota; Actinomycetes.